UUAGGAGCUACUGUGUUGCUGUUUGACACCAUAUCAGAACCUCUUCCCAAGAGUGAAGAGGAUCAUAGCAUUAGUUGGAAAGAAUUCCAGACAAAAGCUUGAAUCAGAACUGUUUCUGCAUAAACCAGUGCCAUACAGAUGUCCUUCCAUUCCCUGCUCUUUUAAGAAAAGACUACAGUCCUCCUCUGAAACAUUCAUACUGUGGGAAAACUGUACAAACAAGACAUUUGAUCAAUUCAAGAGCAAACUUACCCGAUCACCAGCACCACCAGCAGGACCAGGAGCACCAAUAGCACCAGGGAGACCCUACAGGUUAAGAGAAGGACAUCAUUUGUAAGAAAAUGUAUUUGGGUAACCUGCAUUUUUAUCAGUUAGUGAAAUUCAAGCAUCUCCCAGACCUGUGCAUAUGCAACAAAGAGUACCAGCCAUCAGCCUUACCUUCUC
This is a non-coding RNA of Coturnix japonica (Japanese quail), 444 nucleotides long. The record is from RefSeq and is a predicted model, not a curated record. Lineage: Eukaryota; Metazoa; Chordata; Aves; Galliformes; Phasianidae.